CCUACGGGAGGCAGCAGUGAGGAAUAUUGGUCAAUGGGCGCGAGCCUGAACCAGCCAAGUAGCGUGAAGGAUGACUGCCCUACGGGUUGUAAACUUCUUUUAUAAAGGAAUAAAGUGAGGCACGUGUGCCUUUUUGUAUGUACGUUAUGAAUAAGGAUCGGCGAACUCCGUGCCAGCAGCCGCGGUAAUACGGAGGAUCCGAGCGUUAUCCGGAUUUAUUGGGGUUCAAGGGAGCGUAGAGGGGUUGUUAAGUCAGUUGGGCAAGUUUGCGGCUCCACCGGAAAAUUGCAAGUGAUCCUGGCAGCCUUGCGUACAGUUGAGGUAGGCGGACUUCGUGGUGUAGCUGU
RNAcentral lists this ribosomal RNA (347 nucleotides) under uncultured bacterium. Its description in RNAcentral is "partial 16S ribosomal RNA". It matches the Rfam family "Bacterial small subunit ribosomal RNA", at positions 338 to 682 of the family's 1533-position model. The record is from RNAcentral.